UUUCGGAUCGUAAACUCCUUUCGAUCGAGACGAAUGGCCUCCGGGUGAAUAAUCCGGAGGAAUGACGGUACCGAGAGAAGAAGCCCCGGCUAACUCCGUGC
RNAcentral lists this ribosomal RNA (101 nucleotides) under uncultured bacterium. RNAcentral's name for it is "partial 16S ribosomal RNA". The record is from RNAcentral.